Molecule: ribosomal RNA, 292 nt
Filed under: uncultured bacterium
Lineage: Bacteria
Description: partial 16S ribosomal RNA
Rfam family: Bacterial small subunit ribosomal RNA
Source: RNAcentral
GUGUCAGCAGCCGCGGUAAUACGUAGGGUGCGAGCGUUAAUCGGAAUUACUGGGCGUAAAGCGUGCGCAGGCGGUUUUGUAAGACAGAGGUGAAAUCCCCGGGCUCAACCUGGGAACUGCCUUUGUGACUGCAAGGCUUGAGUGCGGCAGAGGGGGAUGGAAUUCCGCGUGUAGCAGUGAAAUGCGUAGAUAUGCGGAGGAACACCGAUGGCGAAGGCAAUCCCCUGGGCCUGCACUGACGCUCAUGCACGAAAGCGUGGGGAGCAAACAGGAUUAGAUACCCUCGUAGUCC